AAGCACGGGUGAGUAACGCGUAUCCGACCUUCCGGCGGCUCGGGUCCAGCCUUUCGAAAGAAAGAUUAAUCCCCGAUGGUGUCAGGCAGUUCCAUGACAGCCUGACUAAAGAAUUAUCGGCCGCCGAUGGGGAUGCGUUCCAUUAGCUUGUUGGCGGGGUAACGGCCCACCAAGGCGACGAUGGAUAGGGGUUCUGAGAGGAAGGCCCCCCACAUUGGGACUGAGACACGGCCCAAACUCCUACGGGAGGCAGCAGUGAGGAAUAUUGGUCAAUGGGCGCGAGCCUGAAACCAGCCAAGUAGCGUGGAGGAUGACUGCCCUACGGGUUGUAAACUCCUUUUGCAGGGGGAUAAAGUGUGCCACGUGUGGCAUAUUGCAGGUACCCUGCGAAUAAGCAUCGGCUAACUCCGUGCCAGCAGCCGCGGUAAUACGGAGGAUGCGAGCGUUAUCCGGAUUUAUUGGGUUUAAAGGGAGCGCAGACGGCCCCUUAAGUCAGCUGUGAAAGUUUGCGGCUCAACCGUAAAAUUGCAGUUGAAACUGUGGGGCUUGAGUACGGUCGCGGCAUGCGGAAUUCGUGGUGUAGCGGUGAAAUGCAWAGAUAUCACGAAGAACCCCGAUUGCGAAGGCAGCAUKCCAGCCCGCCACUGACGUUGAGGCUCGAAGGUGCGGGUAUCAAACAGGAUUAGAUACCCUGGUAGUCCGCACGGUAAACGAUGGGCACUCGCUGUCGGCGACAUACGGCCGGCGGCUUAGCGAAAGCGUUAAGUGCCCCACCUGGGGAGUACGCCGGCAACGGUGAAACUCAAAGGAAUUGACGGGGGCCCGCACAAGCGGAGGAACAUGUGGUUUAAUUCGAUGACACGCGAGGAACCUUACCCGGGCUUGAACUGUGCCUGAAUCCAGAGGAAACUCUGGAGCCAGCAAUGGCAGGCAUGGAGGUGCUGCAUGGUUGUCGUCAGCUCGUGCCGUGAGGUGUCGGCUUAAGUGCCAUAACGAGCGCAACCCCUUCGGCCAGUUUGCCAUCAGGUGGUGCUGGGGACUCUGGCCGUACUG
Molecule: ribosomal RNA, 1053 nt
Filed under: uncultured bacterium
Lineage: Bacteria
Description: bacterial SSU rRNA
Rfam family: Bacterial small subunit ribosomal RNA
Source: RNAcentral